UCAACGCUGGCGGCGUGCCUAACACAUGCAAGUCGAACGCGAAAGCCCUUUCGGGGGUAAGUAGAAUGGCGUCCGGGUGAGUAACACGUGGGUAAUCUGCCUUCGGGUGGGGAAUAACUCAGGGAAACUUGAGCUAAUACCGCAUAAUGCAGCGGCACCUAAUGGUGAUUAGUUGUUAAAGCGGGGGAUCGCAAGACCUCGCGCCUGAAGAGGAGCCUGCGGCAGAUUAGCUAGUUGGUGAGGUAAUGGCUCACCAAGGCUUCGAUCUGUAGCUGGUCUGAGAGGACGGCCAGCCACACUGGCACUGACACACGGGCCAGACUCCUACGGGAGGCAGCAGUGGGGAAUUUUGGGCAAUGGGCGAAAGCCUGACCCAGCAACGCCGCGUGAGGGAGGAAAUCCUUCGGGAUGUAAACCUCACAAGCAAGGGAAGAGAGCUACGGGCUGAAUAAUCCCGUAGUGCGACGGUACCUUGCGUAAGCCACGGCUAACUACGUGCCAGCAGCCGCGGUAAUACGUAGGUGGCAAGCGUUGUUCGGAAUUAUUGGGCGUAAAGGGCGCGUAGGCGGUUUGUUAAGUCGGCUGUGAAAGCCCGGGGCUCAACCCCGGAGGGUCAGCCGAUACUGGCAGACUAGAGUACGGAAGAGGUAGCUGGAAUUCCCGGUGUAGCGGUGAAAUGCGUAGAUAUCGGGAGGAACACCUGAGGCGAAGGCGGGCUACUGGGCCGAUACUGACGCUGAUGCGCGAAAGCCAGGGGAGCGAACGGGAUUAGAUACCCCGGUAGUCCUGGCCCUAAACGAUGGACACUUGGUGUGUCGGGUAUUCCAGUCCCGAUGUGCCGGAGCUAACGCGUAAGUGUUCC
This 862-nucleotide ribosomal RNA is filed under the name uncultured bacterium. Its description in RNAcentral is "bacterial SSU rRNA". It matches the Rfam family "Bacterial small subunit ribosomal RNA", at positions 30 to 870 of the family's 1533-position model. The record is from RNAcentral.